RNAcentral lists this transfer RNA (85 nucleotides) under Ruminococcus callidus. RNAcentral describes it as "tRNA-Leu". It matches the Rfam family "tRNA". Rfam says of the family: Transfer RNA (tRNA) molecules are approximately 80 nucleotides in length. Their secondary structure includes four short double-helical elements and three loops (D, anti-codon, and T loops). Further hydrogen bonds mediate the characteristic L-shaped molecular structure. tRNAs have two regions of fundamental functional importance: the anti-codon, which is responsible for specific mRNA codon recognition, and the 3' end, to which the tRNAs corresponding amino acid is attached (by aminoacyl-tRNA synthetases). tRNAs cope with the degeneracy of the genetic code in two manners: having more than one tRNA (with a specific anti-codon) for a particular amino acid; and 'wobble' base-pairing, i.e. permitting non-standard base-pairing at the 3rd anti-codon position. The record is from RNAcentral. Lineage: Bacteria; Bacillati; Bacillota; Clostridia; Eubacteriales; Oscillospiraceae. RNAcentral also lists the same sequence under 1 other name.
GCGGAUAUGGUGAAAUUGGCAGACACGAUAGAUUUAGGUUCUAUUGCCGAAAGGUGUGCAGGUUCAAAUCCUGUUAUCCGCACCA